UACAGGCGCAUGCUUUGCACGUCAUCACCAAAGACCUUCGCUGUCCCUCGUGUCAUAACAUGGUCGUCUUUGGAGAGAGGGGAACACACUGACCCAGAGCCGGAACUAACGACUGUGAUUCGAGGACUGCUUCUCUUGACGCCAUGCCUCGUUACGAGCUGGCGCUGAUCCUGAAGGCGAUGCAGCGGCCGGAGACGGCGGCUGCUCUCCGGCGGACAGUGGAGACUCUGAUGGAGCGGGGCGCCGUGGUGAGGGACCUGGAGAACUUGGGAGAGAAGCUGCUGCCCUACAAGAUAACCAAGCACAACGAGAGGCACAGCCGAGGGGCUUACUUUCUGCUCGAUUUCUACUCAUCCCCCGAAAUCCUGCCGGGCUUUCUGAACCACCUGCACCGCGACGUGGACGUGGUGAGGCCCACGGUGCUGAAGAAGGACGCCCAGGCUCCCAGCAGCACCAACUGCUGCGGCUCCGCACAGUGACUGAGUGUAAGGAAUGGCAGAGGUGGAUAAUAAAGUGCAUCAAUACCAUGCAUCUGAUACACGGAUCCCACAGCUGCUGUAUGAGCAGGACAGGUUUUUCACAGCUCAUAUCCAGAAGAUUUACAGUGUGAUGCUUCCACCCUUGACCUUUUCCACAAUCGAUCACCUGCUUUUGGAUGUCAUGACAGAAUAAAACUACUUUUUUUCUAUCAUA
Molecule: RNA transcript, 693 nt
Organism: Scophthalmus maximus (turbot)
Lineage: Eukaryota; Metazoa; Chordata; Actinopteri; Pleuronectiformes; Scophthalmidae
Gene: mrps6
Gene name: mitochondrial ribosomal protein S6
Exons: 2
Source: RefSeq, a predicted model, not a curated record